Molecule: unclassified non-coding RNA, 1158 nt
Filed under: Hevea brasiliensis (rubber tree)
Lineage: Eukaryota; Viridiplantae; Streptophyta; Magnoliopsida; Malpighiales; Euphorbiaceae
Source: RNAcentral
AUCUUCGUCCAGCUGAAGGUGGAAGAGGUGAGGAAAUACCGACUUCAAUUUGGAGUAAAUGGAAUCCUUGAUGGCUUGUGACCUCGAUACCAAAUUUAUGACAAAUAGACCUUGAUCAGAAAGAGAAUCUUUUGCUGCCAUAAGAAAAGACUCUUCAAUAAAGUCUGCAGCAGGGCAACUUAAACCAGAACUCGAGUCUGAAGAAUCCACAUCAACAAUGAGCAUGUCAAUUUUUUCUGUGCUUUUAAGUGGUGCAUUAGACAGGGUGGAAUUACCAUUGGAAGAAGGGACCUUUGCCUCAGAAACAUCAUUUUCAUAACCAUUGGUAACUGCAUGAGCUGCAUCCUUGACGUACUUCAAACCAUCAGUCACAUGUACCUUUAACCGUUCAUCAUCUCUAAAAUCAAAAUAGUCUCUAGCAAGAUCUACAACCACAGGAUCCAACUCCAAAACCUCAAUCUCUGCAAAACUCAGGUGCUUACGUAGAAACAUGGGAAGCAAUCCUGCUCCAAGACCAAUUACUACUGAUCUCACCAUGCCUCCCGUAGAUGCCAAACCAUCCAAAUGAGAAGAUAUCAAUGUAAAACCAGAGAUGAUUCCAGUAUGAUAUGAACUGGCCAAAUAACUGUGGUCAACUUUCAAAUCUUUGCUCAAUCCAUCAGACGAUGAGACAUUAGACCCAGAUUUUUUCUGAUUUCCUUUUUUCUUGGAUUUUGAAGAUGACUGGCCUAUCUUCUGAUUAAUAUCAGCUAGAGACUUCGGUGAUCCUUCUUUUGAUAGCACAGCCUCAGAUUGCACUAAACUCUCCGUUCUUUGGAAAGUAAGGCGACGAAAUAUCACAUCCUCAGAUGCAAAGAGACGGCUAAUAUUUUCAUCAACUUUCUCAUAGAUCACAUCAUCUACAAUUAUUGGACCAGUCAAGGGAGAUGUGAUCUCUUGAACAAUCUUUCGCUGUUUGAUUCCAUCACUUGCGGCCAUAAAAGGUAUCUGAGCUUCAUCGUCAAAAUCUCCUGGCGCCAAUUGCAUUAUCAGAGGAGAGAGAUCUUUCUGAAUGUCAUCCAUACUGGCGUCUGAAUGGCUAGAAUCCAGCAAAAUCAUUAUUAAACGAGCAGCCUUAGAGCUUUCUACAACUGCCCAUUGUCCUUCUUCUGAAGAGAA